Molecule: long non-coding RNA, 941 nt
Filed under: Homo sapiens (human)
Lineage: Eukaryota; Metazoa; Chordata; Mammalia; Primates; Hominidae
Description: novel transcript
Source: RNAcentral
GAGAGUAGCGAGUGACAGGUAAGGGCUCUGAACCUUCCUGCGUGCUACCCAAGGAGUGCCUAGGGCUACCAGGAGGCCCAGGGAGGAACCUUGAGACCUGAGAAAGGCUUUUCUUCCCCGAGAGGACCACUGCUCAGGCUCAGAGGCCAUGGGGUGAAGUGCACAAAAAAGUGGGCGUCCAGCCAUGCUCUAAGUCCCCCGAAGAUGAAGACCAGGGAGCAGCUUCCUCCAAUGAAGCAGCAGCAAUCAGAGGACCAGGAGGCUGAAGCCCUGAGCCCAGCCAGAGGCAGGAUCAGCCAAGUCUGGGACAGGCUUCAAUUAUUUUAGGCAGAGCUUCUGGUUCCUGGGCCUUCAGACUUGGACUAGAACUUCACUACCAGCUUUCCUGGGUCUCCAGCUUGCAGAGAGCAGAUCGCAGAACUUCUUAGCCUCCAUAAUCACAACGUGUUUGCUUCCCCUUCCACCAUGAUUGUAAGUUUCCUGAGGCCUCCCCAGUCCUGCAGAACUGCUUUGAAGAAGACCACUGCGUCGGUAUUUGUGAAAUGUUUUGAGCCUCUGGAUUUAAAUAAGCUCCCGCCCCCACCCAGGCCUGCUCAGAAGAACCCAAGCCACUCAGAAGCAGGAGGCAGCCUUCACCCCAACCAGACCAAUAUCCGUUCCAGACUCAGGAUUACAACAAUCUGGGAGAGGGUCAACCAAGUCAGAGUCCCACAUGGCAGAAGAGCUGCUUUAGCUUAAGACUCUUAACUCUUUUUCUUCGGGGCAGGAAAGGUUUGAGCCAAUGAAGGAUGAGGCUUUCCAGGCCCAGGACACAACCUUGAUCCAAGGCCUAGUUGUGGCUUUAAUUUUUGUAAAUCAAGCCUCAAGUUUUUCUUCACUCUUUUAGCCAAAGAUAUGUUUCCCAGGAUGCAUGAAAUAAAUAAAUAAAAUGUACCAAAUUA